AAGUCGUAACAAGGUUUCCGUAGGUGAACCUGCGGAAGGAUCAUUAACACGCAUCCAAACGUUAAAACCCCCCCCGUGAACCUUCAUCCUGCUCUUGUAACCCGCGUAGUUCGCAAUCUCUGAUAAAUCAUAGCCCGGAAAGUUGUAGGGUCUCCAUGCCCCCUAAUAACCCCACAGUUUAAUCUGAAGCUCAAUGUAAUACGUUGGGUAAAAAAACCGAACAACUGUUAACAAUGGAUAUCUUGGUUCUC
This 251-nucleotide unclassified non-coding RNA is filed under the name fungal sp. RNAcentral's name for it is "partial internal transcribed spacer region". The stretch from base 1 to 46 matches the Rfam family "Eukaryotic small subunit ribosomal RNA", at positions 1786 to 1831 of the family's 1831-position model. The record is from RNAcentral. Lineage: Eukaryota; Fungi.